UUUUUUUUUUUUGUUUCUCCAAAUUUCGUGCGAUCCCUCUUUUUCCCUAGAAUUGACGACCGCAAUGUAUUGUUCUCCCUGGGGUUUCGGUCGUUGUUGAGUUUAUUGUUUCUCGAAUCAGUGUAACAGUUUCUUUAAAUUUCGGGCGUUGGUUUAAACUGGCUCUAGUUUAUGGAGGUCUACUUCGUUUUGGGAAUCUCUGAUGAGAAGUUGGAGAUUCCUUUGUUAGCAUGGUAUUGUGUAAAGUACGAGUGGUUUCUGACGCUGGUUUUGUCUUUCUGUCAUGGUUAUGUAAUGCAAAUGCUCAGAUUUUUUAUCCUCUUACCGCCAAACCCUGUUGCACAAUUUGGCAUCUUGAGAAGACUAUCCAUUUAUUUGUGAGCAAUGGUGAUUUCUGUUUUUUGGUUACGGUUUGCAAUCGGAGAUUAGUUUUAUCAGUCUUUCUGGGAGUGUCCACAGUGUUUCCACAAUGCUUAUGUUUUUUUUCCCUGUAAGGUCCACAAUGCUUAGGUUACAACCAGUAGAUGUGCUUAAAGAACUAUAAGUCGGAAUGAGUUUGGUCUUCUGGUCAAACCAGUUGUUAGGGACACCAUCGAUAUGGUGCUCCUAUGUGAGCUUGGAUCGUGAGAGGAUUGAAUCAAUUGCUUAUUAGCUUGAAGAGAUCAAUUUUGGUCUUCUGGUUAUAUCUGAUUCUUAGAGACUAGGAUGUGAGCUGAGAAUGUGCGGUGAAUGUUCUUUGGACCUGAAGGUAUGUUGGGCUUGAAGUCUCAGACACUUGUUAGAGUGAAACCUUGAUACCAUUUUUUUGCACCAGAAGGUGAAUUCAUGGCCUUGGUGACCGUGAGAAAGAUGCAGAAGACUGACAAGGAGAAGUUGAGGAGGGAAAAGCUGAAUGAGCAUUUCAUUGAAAUGGGAAAUUUACUAGUUGAUACAGAGGAGAAAAACGACAUGAGAGAAGAGAAGGCGUCGCUGAAGUCAGACAUAGAGAAUCUAAACUUCCAGUACUAGCAGCAGAGGCUAAGGUCUAUGGACCAAAUGAUCGUGAUGGCCACACCAUGAUCCUUCCCGUAUCCAAUGUCCAUGUCUAUGCCUUCCACUGCAUCCAUCUAUGCCGCCAAACCCAUUCUUUGGGAACCACCUACAUGCCGUAUAUGACCACUUGAACAGCAGUCUGGGCAUGUACCACAUAACCCGCGCAGGCAGUGAGCUGUCGAGAAAGCAAAGCUGAGGAUACUUGAGUUGAAGACUCCUGGGUCUAUCUCUGAUAAGGUGAGACCUAAUAACACUAAACAAUCAGUACAGAGUUCUUAUAUUUUUUUGCAGGAUAGAAGUAGAGAAAGUCCAAAGACUGAGCAAUGAGUAACUGCAGCUCCAAAGAAGAGAGUAAACGUUGGUCCGUCCUUCUGGUGGCGUAGCUAGUGGCCAAUAUCCUAACUACGCAGGAGAGAAGACGACAAGGACUGACCAACAACCACUAAACUGCCGAGUUUUAACUGUCGACAUUUACCAUUUAUGAUUUCAUAAAUGGUUAUGUAAGAAAGAAGCCCAUGCUCUCAGGAAGCACGUGUGUUCUUUGUGCGGUGGGUGGUCUCGUCUCGUCUCCUUCACUUCUUCGACACUACUCGCACACUGACACUCCACCUCUUUCUCCGGCAAUGGCGGUGGUUUCCCCCUCUUUCUCUGCCCAAAUCUCCGGCGGCACCGCUUUCUCUGGCCUCCGACGUUCCGAUGCCAGCGUCUCCUUCGUCCACUGUUCCAAUUCGUCUAUCCGGCUCGUCUCUUCUCCGAAUCGCCAGCCUCCGAGAGGCGUCAUGGGCUUUCUUCUGUUCUCCUGCUGGCCAAGUCUUAGAAACUGUUGAUUCGCAAAAAUUUAGUCAGUGAAACUACGAAUUCUCAAAGGAUGAAAGCCUAAUUGUAUUGCGUCUCAGGUCCGUCACCGGUCUGUGAAACCUGAUUAAUCCAAAAAUCAGAUGUUAGUGCUCGGAUUUAGUAAACUCAGAUUAGAAAUUCUGAGUUUGUCCGAGAAAGCAGAAGCAAUACAGAUCUGAUCGAGAGAUGGGAGAAAGGUUUUCUGAAAGAAAUUCUCCCUUAUGUUAUUGGUUCACACUAGUAUUGGCAAUAUACGCAGAUACUUUUAGUUCUGAGAAAAUGGAAACUUUACAGAUACGUAUUCUAGCAUAUAUACACAAAGAGGUUCCGAGUGUGGCUCCAACGUUCUGAAUAUUUGAUGUCAAAGAUACCAAUCAGUCCGAGAUGGCACAUGUCUGAUCGGUAUUGCCAUCGUCUGUCUUCGGUUUCGUCCGUUCCGAGUGUGGUCCGGUUCAGUCCUUGCAGUCAUGGAGUGUCGUCCUCUUCAACAGGGCCAUCAUCGAGGGUGAUUUCUUAUCGGCUAAAGCUUGGGCACAUCACAAUGAUGGUGAAACCGACAUUGCAGUUCAUCCAAGGGACAGACGAGCUGACGAUCCCGGACGUGAGGCUGACGAGGCCAAGGGACGAGAGCAACGGAGUGGCAACGUUCACGUUCGAGCAGCCGUUGGUGUUUGACUGAGAGAAAAAUGCUUUGGCCACAUCGGAAUCAACGAUUUGAUAAUGCUUUUGUUCAUGGCUCCUGUUUUCACUUUUGAAUGAUAUAUACAUGCGAGUUUUUUUA
Tarenaya hassleriana is the source of this 2650-nucleotide long non-coding RNA. RefSeq lists it as uncharacterized. The record is from RefSeq and is a predicted model, not a curated record. The transcript has 3 exons. NCBI's taxonomy places the organism in Eukaryota, Viridiplantae, Streptophyta, Magnoliopsida, Brassicales, Cleomaceae.